RNAcentral lists this ribosomal RNA (253 nucleotides) under uncultured bacterium. Its description in RNAcentral is "partial 16S ribosomal RNA". It matches the Rfam family "Bacterial small subunit ribosomal RNA", at positions 524 to 776 of the family's 1533-position model. The record is from RNAcentral.
UACGAAGGGGGCUAGCGUUGCUCGGAAUCACUGGGCGUAAAGCGCACGUAGGCGGACUCUUAAGUCGGGUGUGAAAUCCCGGGGCUCAACCCCGGAACUGCAUUCGAUACUGGCAGGCUAGAGACCGGAAGAGGUGGGUGGAAUACCCAGUGUAGAGGUGAAAUUCGUAGAUAUUGGGUGGAACACCGGUGGCGAAGGCGGCUCACUGGUCCGGUUCUGACGCUGAGGCGCGAAAGCGUGGGGAGCAAACAGG